Molecule: ribosomal RNA, 292 nt
Filed under: uncultured Alphaproteobacteria bacterium
Lineage: Bacteria; Pseudomonadati; Pseudomonadota; Alphaproteobacteria
Description: partial 16S ribosomal RNA
Source: RNAcentral
GGACUACCGGGGUAUCUAAUCCUGUUUGCUCCCCACGCUUUCGAGCCUCAGCGUCAGUCAUGGACCAGUAAGUCGCCUUCGCCACUGGUGUUCUUCCGAAUAUCUACGAAUUUCACCUCUACACUCGGAGUUCCACUUACCUCUUCCAUACUCUAGGCUAUCAGUUUUGAAGGCAAUUCCAAGGUUGAGCCCUGGGCUUUCACCUCCAACUUGAUAACCCGCCUACGCUCCCUUUACGCCCAGUAAUUCCGAGCAACGCUAGCCCCCUUCGUAUUACCGCGGCGGCUGGCAC